Molecule: ribosomal RNA, 460 nt
Filed under: uncultured bacterium
Lineage: Bacteria
Description: partial 16S ribosomal RNA
Rfam family: Bacterial small subunit ribosomal RNA
Source: RNAcentral
CCUACGGGCUGCAGCAGUGAGGAAUAUUGGUCAAUGGACGAGAGUCUGAACCAGCCAAGUAGCGUGAAGGAUGACUGCCCUAUGGGUUGUAAACUUCUUUUAUAAAGGAAUAAAACGAGGCACGUGUGCCUUUUUGCAUGUACUUUAUGAAUAAGGAUCGGCUAACUCCGUGCCAGCAGCCGCGGUAAUACGGAGGAUCCGAGCGUUAUCCGGAUUUAUUGGGUUUAAAGGGAGCGUAGAUGGGUUGUUAAGUCAGUUGUGAAAGUUUGCGGCUCAACCGUAAAAUUGCAAUUGAUACUGGCAGUCGUGAGUACAGUUGAGGUAGGCGGAAUUCGUGGUGUAGCGGUGAAAUGCUUAGAUAUCACGAAGAACCCCGAUUGCGAAGGCAGCUUACUAAACUGUGACUGACAUUGAUGCUCGAAAGUGUGGGUAUCAAACAGGAUUAGAUACCCUUGUAGUC